RNAcentral lists this long non-coding RNA (1889 nucleotides) under Triticum aestivum (bread wheat). RNAcentral describes it as "long non-coding RNA (TAES_LNC021251)". Lineage: Eukaryota; Viridiplantae; Streptophyta; Magnoliopsida; Poales; Poaceae. The record is from RNAcentral.
CUUAUGCGUCUAAGAUAUUAACAGGGCAGAGGCUCUAGAGAGGAGGUUUGAUUUUCCUUUUCGGGAUUUGUAGCAUGAAUGCAAGAAUUUCUCCUGUAGGUAUGGCUUCAUUCCUCCAUUCGCCAUAUGCAAAUCUUGGUCUUCGAUUUGUUUUAUUUCCCAUGAGUGACCUAAGAUUACUGUCAUGCUAUGGAAGCCUAGAGUGUAGAGUGAGUCAAAUAUGUACUAGAUGCACUAAUUUAGCUCAUUGCCUUGCUUCAUGCACCUCAGGUUUGGAUAUGUCCUUACUUUCAUGGCUCAAUCAUCAAAUGACGUCAAAAUUGAAUUCCUGAAAGCAAGGUAUAUCAAAUCAUCCUUGUUUUGUUGUCCAGUGCUUAUUUCAUUGUGGAUAUACAUAUUUACUAUCACAUAUGGCGCAGAUCUUGAAUGACCUUUCUCUUGCAACCUCUCUUGACAAUUAGAUUUCAUUUGUCUAUGUAGGCUAAUUAAUGAUGGAAAACUAACUGAUGCUCUUGUUGUAUCCGACUGUUGUUUGCGCAAUGGAGCGUCUGAUAAAUUACUUUGAUUGUCCAUUGAUCAAAGGGAAUAAAUAAUAAGUCUAGGCACAGGACAACGUAACAAUAUGUGCUUGAGUCCUUACAUCAUACGUGAUCGUGUAAUUCUAUGACACAACCUGUUUAUGGAGUUAAAUCUUGACAAGGCAUAUUUCCCAUUUCUCAGCUUACUUUCUCAUAUCUUGCGCUAACCACUCCCAGGACACCAGAUCCGCGUCCUCAUUGUCCCCCCAGCCUUUCUCAUUGGACGAAGAUGACAGGGAGGAGAGGAUGCUAGCCAGGAAGGUGCACAUGGCAUUGGCGUCGCCGACCCCACACCAGCGAUGGUACAAUAAAAUCACCUUAACCAUCACCAGAAUUUGAUCCUCUUUCUUUCCUAAUUUAUUUAAUCACAUAGGCCAAGGAGCCAUCGGCGAUGGUGUAGCUGCAGCAGCCUGUCAAUUGGAGGAGAGGCCAAGGACCAUGGUUGAUCUAAGAGCAGUCUCAACUUGCUUGUAGAUCUGUUCUGGAGCAUGGUUCAUUUAUCUAUGAUUCCCCACCCUAACAAAGCAUGGUCCACAUCUUGAAUUUGAAGUGAACUUCAGUCUAAUUUGUUGCUGGUUGUGCUGAACAGUUCGGUCAGGGUGGACGUGCUUUUGUUCUAUUUGUGAGUUCCUUUGUCCGAGUUGAGUGCACCCAAAAUUGACUGCCGGGAGAAUUUGUACUGCCCAUUUGACGGUUUUGGAGGCUCAUGGUUUUGUGGCAUGGAUUGCUGCAUAUAACAUCUUCUAUAUCGUUUGCCGGUAGAAAGAUGUUAUUGUCCUGAGAUAUACUCUUCUGGGAUUAUGGUGUACAACUCCUGCUCUGUUGCAAACUGAAAUUCCCAUCGGGUUCCAUGUGUUUAUAGGGUUUCUUAGCCCCAAUAGGCAGUGUGAUAGGCACGACCUUGUUGGUGAUAUUUCUCAAUUGUUCUUUGAAUGCCCUUUGGCCAAGCUGUGGUGGCCUGAUCUUUCUAAAUUAGUUGAGAUCAAUAUGGGCAUAUUGCUAAAUGUUGGUUCAGCAGUAACAAGAAUAGGUAUUGUUGUUGCCUUUUGGUUGUUGGUUUCAGUUUCUGCUCUGGCAGAGUAGCAGUUCCAGUUCCGUGUAAUACUGAAUCUGUCAAUUGGGCUGUAACGCUUAUCGUUCUGUUCCAUCACCUGGGAUGAGGAAAUAUGUCUGUUUUGUGGGUCAAACAGAGUUAGCAUGGAGAAACUUUCUUUCUCCAUUUAGUAUUGAAACCUAUGAACGAAAUGACCAAUCAUGCAAAACCUGGCAUAUCUUGUUGGAUACCCAAUGUUAUAUGGAUACUUGCUAGAU